RNAcentral lists this ribosomal RNA (445 nucleotides) under uncultured bacterium. RNAcentral's name for it is "partial 16S ribosomal RNA". It matches the Rfam family "Bacterial small subunit ribosomal RNA", at positions 354 to 796 of the family's 1533-position model. The record is from RNAcentral.
GUGAGGAAUAUUGGUCAAUGGGCGGGAGCCUGAACCAGCCAAGUCGCGUGAAGGAAGAAGAAUCUAUGGUUCGUAAACUUCUUUUGCAGGGGAAUAAAGUGCAGGACGUGUCCUGUUUUGUAUGUACCCUGAGAAUAAGGAUCGGCUAACUCCGUGCCAGCAGCCGCGGUAAUACGGAGGAUCCGAGCGUUAUCCGGAUUUAUUGGGUUUAAAGGGUGCGUAGGUGGUUUGAUAAGUCAGCGGUGAAAGUUUGCAGCUUAACUGUAAAAAUGCCGUUGAAACUGUCGGACUUGAGUGUAAAUGAGGUAGGCGGAAUGCGUGGUGUAGCGGUGAAAUGCAUAGAUAUCACGCAGAACUCCGAUUGCGAAGGCAGCUUACUAAGCUACAACUGACACUGAAGCACGAAAGCGUGGGGAUCAAACAGGAUUAGAUACCCCUGUAGUCC